RNAcentral lists this ribosomal RNA (253 nucleotides) under uncultured bacterium. Its description in RNAcentral is "partial 16S ribosomal RNA". It matches the Rfam family "Bacterial small subunit ribosomal RNA", at positions 524 to 776 of the family's 1533-position model. The record is from RNAcentral.
UACGUAGGUGGCAAGCGUUGUCCGGAAUUACUGGGUGUAAAGGGAGCGCAGGCGGGAAGCCAAGUCAGCUGUGAAAACUACGGGCUUAACUUGUAGACUGCAGUUGAAACUGGUUUUCUUGAGUGAAGUAGAGGUUGGCGGGAUUCCGAGUGUAGCGGUGAAAUGCGUAGAUAUUCGGAGGAACACCGGUGGCGAAGGCGGCCAACUGGGCUUUAACUGACGCUGAGGCUCGAAAGUGUGGGGAGCAAACAGG